GACGAACGCUGGCGGCAUGCCUAACACAUGCAAGUCGAGCGAGCAGAUCCCUUCGGGGUGAAGCUAGGGGCGGACGGGCGAGUAACAUGUGGGCAACCUGCCUCAUAGAGGGGAAUAGCCUUGCGAAAGGAAGAUUAAUACCGCAUAAGUUUGUUGCUUCCCAUGAAGCAGAAACUAAAAGUGCAAUCCGCUAUGAGACUGGACCGCGGCGCAUUAGCUACUUGGUGAGGUAACGGCUCACAAAGGCGACGAUGCGUAGCAGAGCUGAGCGGGUGAUUGGCCACAUUGGGACUGAGACACGGCCCUGACUCCUACGGGAGGGAGCAGUGGGGAAUAUUGCACAAUGGGGGAAACCCUGAUGCAGCAAUGCCGCGUGAGUGAUGUCGGCCUUCGGGUUGUAAAGCUCUGUCUUCCGGGACGAUAAUGACGGUACCCGAGGAGGAAGCCACGGCGAACUACGUGCCAGCAGCAGCCGUAA
This 478-nucleotide ribosomal RNA is filed under the name uncultured bacterium. RNAcentral describes it as "partial 16S ribosomal RNA". It matches the Rfam family "Bacterial small subunit ribosomal RNA", at positions 28 to 523 of the family's 1533-position model. The record is from RNAcentral.